GGGGAUGUAGCUUAGUGGUAGAGUGCUUGCCUGGCAUGCACAAAGCCUUGGGUUUCAUGCCCAGUACCACCA
This 72-nucleotide transfer RNA is filed under the name Ictidomys tridecemlineatus (thirteen-lined ground squirrel). RNAcentral's name for it is "Spermophilus tridecemlineatus (thirteen-lined ground squirrel) tRNA". It matches the Rfam family "tRNA". From Rfam's summary of the family: Transfer RNA (tRNA) molecules are approximately 80 nucleotides in length. Their secondary structure includes four short double-helical elements and three loops (D, anti-codon, and T loops). Lineage: Eukaryota; Metazoa; Chordata; Mammalia; Rodentia; Sciuridae. The record is from Rfam by way of RNAcentral.